GCCAGAUGCUGAGCUGCAGAACCGCCCGGCUCUGGGUGCGCGACCUGUGAAGCAGACAGCUGUCUUGGACCAGGGCUGCGGGCCCGCGGGGCCUAAAGUGGUUUGCAGAAUUAAAGGUGGGCCUGCAUUUGUGCGGAAAGAAGGUAUGUGAAGGAAAGCUAAGAUAAUUCAGUGGAUUCUUCACUGGGAAAAAGGCCAGAUUCCAGUUUAUAAACGGAGGCUUGCUGUUGCCAGGCUGGAAUGCAAUGAC
Molecule: long non-coding RNA, 250 nt
Filed under: Homo sapiens (human)
Lineage: Eukaryota; Metazoa; Chordata; Mammalia; Primates; Hominidae
Description: HSALNT0388515
Source: RNAcentral